CACUUUCAACAACGGAUCUCUUGGCUCUCGCAUCGAUGAAGAACGUAGCGAAGUGCGAUAAGUAAUGUGAAUUGCAAAAUUCCGUGAAUCAUCGAAUCUUUGACUGCAAAUUGCACUCUCUGGCAACCCGGGGAGUAUGCCUGUUUGAGGGUCAGU
RNAcentral lists this ribosomal RNA (156 nucleotides) under uncultured Glomus. RNAcentral's name for it is "5.8S ribosomal RNA". It matches the Rfam family "5.8S ribosomal RNA". From Rfam's summary of the family: 5.8S ribosomal RNA (5.8S rRNA) is a component of the large subunit of the eukaryotic ribosome. It is transcribed by RNA polymerase I as part of the 45S precursor that also contains 18S and 28S rRNA. Functionally, it is thought that 5.8S rRNA may be involved in ribosome translocation. Lineage: Eukaryota; Fungi; Glomeromycota; Glomeromycetes; Glomerales; Glomeraceae. The record is from RNAcentral.